Triticum aestivum (bread wheat) is the source of this 4118-nucleotide long non-coding RNA. RefSeq lists it as uncharacterized. The record is from RefSeq and is a predicted model, not a curated record. The transcript is spliced from 3 exons. NCBI's taxonomy places the organism in Eukaryota, Viridiplantae, Streptophyta, Magnoliopsida, Poales, Poaceae.
GCUUCGUGCUUCAUUGCCUCCCCCCCCCCCCCCCCCCACUCCCAAUCCAUUUCUUUUUUCUGUAUGAUUUAUUUGCUAUUUUAAGUUAUUCAUUUGUUGUUUCUGUUGAUAUCUAUUUUGCAAGGAUUUCGAGGUGUCACUGGUUAGGGUUUUCUCUGCUUGCUGUGAGGUGCGCUAGGGGAGGCUUUAGUUUUCCCAAGGUCUUGAAGAUAUCAACAGUGACAAGAUCCCAGCUUCGAGUUCCUUUUGUUCCAUCGGACAUCGUGGUGUUCUGUGUAGUCCCCACUAACACUCCUGGUGGUGAUGCUAGUGGAUCUGGUGGUGAUGCUGGUGGAUCUGGUGAUGCUGGUGCUGUUGCGGCUUCCUGCUCUGUUUGAAGCGUAUGGUUCAAGCUCGGUUUUAAGACAUAUUGGGUCACAGUGCCUUCUUCCAAUCUUUGAAGAUAAGUUGGAAUUCAAUGUAGAAAAUAUUUUGUGGAACGCCACUUCCUAUAGGUAUUUUCGUCGUUUAUAGUUUCUUAAAAUUCAUAUUUUUUACAACGCAGAUUACUGAUUGUCUUCAUAGUUACUUCCCAUAGUAAUGUUUAUGUUCCUUCUUUGUUUUCUCUCAUGUCUCUUUUCUGAUAUGUGUGCAACAUGUAAUGUUAUGAUAGUGCCACAACCUGAGCAACUGAUUUUCCCUUGGCGACAACUUUCUCCACUAAUCAUUUCUGCUAGUUAUCUAUUUGUACAACUCUUGGGACCUGCAAAUGCAAUAUUCAGACUUCUUAGUUUUAUAAUUUUGUUUUUCAAAAUUAUUAUAUUGCAACCAUAACAAUGGUUUUUCUUGUUGAUAGCAACUUCAGCGUGCAAAUCUAAUUCCUUAAAUUAUAGUCAUUGCUAAUGCUUACCUUGUGUGUUUUUUUUGUUGUAUCAUGAGAAUGCACUUAGAGGGCAGGCCUGGCGCAGUGGUGAAGUCCUCCCCACUUGUGCCAAGAGGUCCUGGGUUCGAACCAGCCUCUCUGCAUUGCACUUUGCAGGGGUAAGACUAGGUUCCUAUAAUCCCUCCCCAGACCCCACCUUGUGUGGGAGCUUCUAUGCACUGGGUCUGUCCUUUAUGAGAAUGCACUUGCUGAUAUUCCCGUUGUGUAAUUUUUGGCACCUACGUAAGCAAUUUCAGAUUAUUAGUUAUUUUUGGGGUAAGUUAAACUAGAGUUUUGAAACUUCUGCCUCCGCAUCCAUUUUUAUUCAGUGUUCCUCACCUUGUUGACAGUAUGGUCUGCUCCACCAUGAAGUUGUUGUUGCUCAUAAUGAAGUUGUGCAACUUCUUUAGGUUGCAUAUGCAAUUAUCUUUUUAAUAUCUUGAUAUGACAUGAAAGCAUAGUACUGAUUGAUGCAAUGAUAGCAUAAUGGCUUCCAUGGCAUGCAAAGUACCUAUGUCUCUACAACUAUUUUUAUACCACUAUUGCUUACCUUGUAUAGAAUUCUUUUUGAUCAAGUGUAGUUGUUCCUUCUGAUUUUGAAUCUCUGUAUCCUGCAAAUGCAAUUUUGAUAUAAUUAGUGUCAUCAUGUGGAAGUUAAUCGUAAUGCUAAUGGUUGGCAGCCAUGACAACGAAAACACUGGCUAUUGCAAUUGUCUGCUGACGCAACAGUGGUGUUUGUCAGCAAGAUUUUAUACUCUGUUCAUCUCCUCGUUGAUAAUAUGUUUUGCUACUACAUGUUGGUGUUGUUGUUGAUACUUAUUUUGUGCAACUUCUUUAUCGUGCAUCAGCAAUUAAGAUAACCAGAUUCAUUAGCAGUAUGUUUUUCUGUAGUUAUAAUAGCUGGAUACUGUAAUAGGAAUAAUAGCUACGACAACAAAAUUUGUGUCUACACUUAUGUUUAUGAUUUUGAUUUUUAUCUUCAGGAAGGGUAAUAGGCUUCCCAAAAUUCAUUCAUCUAUAGAAAAACUUCAUUCUAUUCUUUCUUUUGCAUUUGGAAGGGUAAUAGGAUUCCCAAAAUUCAUUCAACUGUGGAAAAACUUCAUUCUAUUCUAUCUUUUGCAUUUGGAAGGGUAACAUGCUUCCCAAAAUUAAUUCCUCUAUAAAAAUAAUAAUUCUGUUAUGUCAUUUUCUUUUGCAUUUUAUCUUUAUCUAUUGAUUUUAGUUUAUGUUUAGUUUAUGCUUAGUUUCUUCAGACUAUGUAGUAGGUUCCGACUUUGAUGAAGUACUUGAAGUUUUUUAUGUUGUCUUUGAUGAGGAUUGCUUCAGGAGGAUGGUUAGUUGUAUUAAUCAUUUCUUUUGUAGUUUGACUUAUUUUGUAGAUAUCAAUCUAUGUGUAUGUGUUUACUUUGCCACUGCAUUUUUUCAUGGCUAAUAUGAAACCUGUGUACUUUAGGUGUUGUUCCCCAUCCUAUGUCUCGAUUGUCUUUGUAAUUAGUUAUAUAGAUGGAACUAUAAUUUUGUCUUUCCAUGAUCUAAAUCCAGUUGAUAUUGAUCAAUUCAUGCAAGUAUAGUUAUAAUCGCGAAUACAGUGAGGUACUCUGUAUUACAUAUAGCUUGAAUUCUUUUGUACAUAUCAAUGUAUCUGCUUCCAAUAAACCCUAAAUCAGCAUAUCAGCAACGCUAACAUGUGUCCUGCUGUUGUAAAAUGUGUGCAAGUUUAGUAUGAUGAACAUACAAUUUUUAAUUGUAGCCUUUGAAUUUAUGAUUUAGGCUUUUGCUGUAAUUAUAGUUGUACUCAUAGUCAUGCUCGUGCAUUUUAUUACUUGCAGCAAUGAGAAUGUAAUAAUUAGGUUUAGGUAAAUUUUUGCAAGUACAUCCUUUGUUUUCUAUAUUUCUUGGUUUUUUUUGCGUAGAUUUGUUCUAGUUAUGGUUAUCUCUCUGAAUAUGCAAAUUUAAUUCCAACAUAGACAACUUCUUUAGGGAGUGGUACUGCCUAAACUUUUACUUUGACAACUUCUUUAGCCCUAGAUGUGAUAGUUAUAUUUCUGUAAGUAUGUAUGCAUGCUCGUAUUUAUACUUCUUGCAUGUUGCUUUUGAAGAACAAGUGGAAGUUUAGUUAUCUGAAUAUGCAAAUUUAAAAUUCUGCCAUGAGGGUGUUGUUCUGAUUUUACUUGUAGUUAAAUAAUUUCUAGCACAAGCAGGUCAAGAUAAUGUAGUAUGCAUGCUCAUAGUAUAGUUCUUCUAUGUUGCUACUCAAUAACGACCGCAAGCUUAGUUUUUUGAAUAUGUAAAUUUAGUCUGUUCAUGGAUAUUUUAGAUUCUGGCUUCAAGGAGGUGUUCAGCCUUAACUGUAGUUUAACAAUUUUUCUAGUACUACCAGGUGAUUUUUAUACAUAUCUAUGCAUGCUCGCACUACACUUAUUUGUAUGUUGCUUUUAAUCAACAACUGCAAAUUUAGUUCUCUGAAUAUGCAAAUUCAGUAUAUGCAUGGAAAUUCUAGGUUCUGAUUUCAGGAUGGUGUUCUUCUUGGAAUUUUUAAAUUCUGCCUUUAGCGAGUGUUCUAUUUUUAAAUUCUGAAUAUGUCAGGUCGUCACAUAAAAUUCAGAAUUAUCUUCAAAGAUUUAGGGAGGUCGUUCCACAAAAUAUUGCAUGUUGCUUUUUGUACAUAUGUAUGCAUGCUAGCGCUAUACUUCUUUGUAUGUUGCUUUUGGUAAACAACAUCAAGUUUAGUUCUCUGAAUAUGCAAAUUCAAUUCCUUCUUGGAAUUUUUAAAUUAUGCCUUUAGGGAGGUGUUCUUUUUUAAAAUUCUGAAUAUGUCAGGUCGUCACAUAAGAUGCAGCAGCAAAAUCAAAACACAGAAGGCAGAAGAGGGCAGGAGAAUUUUCAAGAUAUCAAAAUCAAAAUCAAAACACCAAAUUGUCAGGUCGUCACAUAUUGUCAGGCCCUUUUUUUGGGCUGGACAGAAGGCAGAAGAGGCAAGAGAAUUUUUUCAGCCAGUUUGGCUGUUGGGCUGGUCGACUGACACUAACUUUGUGUCAGUCAGUUUUCUUCUGUCCUCUUUUCUUUUCCUUUGUUGUACUAAUCGACUGACCACAUUCUACAAUCAGUCGAUUGACCUGUAGCCGCUCCCGUACGUGCUUCCAUCAGCUAGCGUACCGGGGCCAAGCUGUGCAUGCAUGUGAUGUGAUCAGCAUUGUACCAUAUGUUCAAUAAUAAG